CCCUUAGAUGUCCGGGGCCGCACGCGCGCUACACUGAAGGAAUCAGCGUGGCUUUCUCCCUGACCCGAAAGGGUUGGGAAACCCGUUGAAUCUCCUUCGUGAUAGGGAUUGGGGCUUGAAAUUGUUCCCCAUGAACGAGGAAUUCCUAGUAGGCGCGAGUCAUGACCUCGCGUCGACUGCGUCCCUGCCCUUUGUACACACCGCCCGUCGCUACUACCGAUCGAGCGCCCUAGCGAGGUCGUCCGAUUGUCGCCGAGGCCGGCUUUCGCGAGCUGCGCAUCCGACGAAAAGGCGAUCGAACUCGAGCGCUUAGAGGAAGUAAAAGUCGUAACA
This 333-nucleotide ribosomal RNA is filed under the name uncultured eukaryote. Its description in RNAcentral is "partial 18S ribosomal RNA". It matches the Rfam family "Eukaryotic small subunit ribosomal RNA", at positions 1470 to 1796 of the family's 1831-position model. The record is from RNAcentral.